RNAcentral lists this long non-coding RNA (3931 nucleotides) under Strigops habroptila (Kakapo). RNAcentral describes it as "lncRNA (ENSSHBG00005002408.1)". Lineage: Eukaryota; Metazoa; Chordata; Aves; Psittaciformes; Psittacidae. The record is from RNAcentral.
GUUUUUUUAAUUAAUAUUAUUUUCAUUUCAUUCAUGUUCUCACAGUGGUCUAUCCUGAUUUGCUGUCUGGAAUCUCUUCUGCAAGGUUUGCUGGGAAGCCUUGGAAGAUGUGGUGCUUCUAUAACAUCUUUAUGCUAGAAACACAAGGAGCAUGUGACUAUGCAGUUCUAUUCAACCUGACGGAUGAGAUACCUAUAUUCCCUGAUGUGAACAAAACCAACUUGAAUUCCAGUGAUUCUUCAGACACUUUCUUACAGGGAUCAAUGUAUGCUUUCCUUCUGUUAGCAAUGCAAACUAAAGGGAUCAGUUUUAAUAGGACAUACUUUCAAAUAUUUAUUUUCCCAUAUUUUUUUAAAGAAUCCAGCUUGGCAUGCUAGAGUGGCAACUUAUCAGAAGCAUCCAGGUCAUAAAUCACUGUUGCUAUUUCAUGUUGCAUUUCAGACUGUAAUUUUUCUUUUCUUCCUUCAAAUCUUUCAUGACUCAAAAAAGAAAAAAAAAAAAAAAAAAAGAAGGAAAAAAGAAAUUAUUGACAGAAAAAAACAACAAUCACAUGGAAGAAAAUGAGAAAGUAAUGAAAUUGUGUUUGGGUUGGGAUUGUGGGCAUAUGUAUCCAAUGUUUACUUCCAAAUUUUUCUACUACUAAGAUGUCAAUUCCUGUCAAAGUAUGGAUUGCUGCAAAUAAUUCUGGAGUAUAGAUUAGUGUUACAUUUGACUAGAGUGGAAAAAAGAGAUCAUCCUGAAUGUGCUACAUUUUCUUAAAUUUUGAGUGUUUUCUUAUUUGUCAACUAGCAUAGUUAUUGUUUAGGCAAAAUUUUCAUUAUUUUCAAUGGGAUUUCAGGCUUGGGCUGGCAAUCUGAUAAGGAAGUUACCUUUAUAUCCCUAUGGACCAUUCUUGCAUGCUGAAAUUGAUCUUUGUGUUUGCAGGCUCCUUCUGUCUUCUAUAGCACACUAGUUUCUUGAGCUUUUUAGGUUUUUUUAACUGAAGAGUCAUGGAGCUUUUUAUGAUGUGCAGCUGUAUGGGUAGUAUGGAAGGCUCUUUGAAGCCUUUUGGACUUGAUGGCUGUUGCUUUCCUGCUUGUUCUAGAUUGAGAGUCUAAAUACUGAUGAAUAUUGUUAUUUCUAGAACUGCUGUGGGUUUUCUCCUUUUAAUUUUUUUUUUUUUUUUAAGGUGGUGAGGUUUCAAAAGGCAGCAGUGCUAAUCAGGAGACCUAAUGCUAGUGAUAAUGCACUUCCCCUUGACUAGAUGCUUUUGCCAGUGUCCUCUUCCCAUGGCAUGCCAGUUCAGCUCUCUGGGCUGGUCAGCAGGGCUUGAGGGGAAAAGGGCUUUCUUGUGUGUAUUCAACCCAGGAACAAGAGCAGCCAUGAGGGAUAUCUGAGGCCAUACCACUAAGCAGGGAGUGAGGAGGGGACUAUCUGCCUCUUGUGAGAGCAAGGAGGCAGUAGGAGUUGACAUCUCUUUCAUGAAAUUUUACCCGAAAUGAGCCCUGAUGCUCUGUUCUCUGUAACACCUCUACAGCUUCUUUCCCUUGACAUUCUUGUUUGGCGUCUAUUGACCAUGACAAGUCCACAUUUAAUAAAAAUACUAGUAUUUGCUGGAUUUGAGUACUUUGUGUCUACAUACUUUCUUAGAGAGAGAUGUCUGAAUAUGGGUGAGUUUCUAAGAAAGCCAUUUGUAGGAUUUAUUUAUGCAUUUUAAGUUUUAUCCUUAAUUCUACUCUGCAUGGAUUUGGAGAAAAGAAGAGCAGUAUUGUAAGUGUAUUUUUGUCCUGAGUUCUAAUAAUGCUUUUGUGGCUCUGUGGUUUUAUUUCCUUAGACCACUCCAUGUACUAUUGCAACUAAGGUAGAGGGUUUUUUAAUAUAAACAUAAUUCCUGAUACACUUACUUUCUUCUGGAUUUUUUUUAAUAUCUCUUAAUUGUUUUAGAAUAGAUUUAUAGCAAUAUUGCUGCUAAGAGAAACAUAGUAGACUCUUAAGCUAGUAAGAAUAAUCAGUUCUAAACAAAAUGCAGAAAACUUGACUAUCAGAAACCAGUUUGAAAUUAUUAAUGUUUUUUCAUAAAUAGUUUUCUUACGUCUCUUCAAGAAUUAGCUUGAAAUAGUAUUUGUUGGAUUUUUGCUUGGGUUGUUUGUUUUGGUGUUUUUUUCCCCAAAUAAUUUUCUUACAUCUCUUCAAGAACGAAGGAUACUUAUGGAAAGCAAGUAGUUAAAAUUAACAUCAACUUGACACUGAAAAUGAAACAUACAUCACAAAGACCAAACAUUUUCCUGUCAAAAGGACAACUGCAAUUUGGGAAUCAGUAUAAUACAAAUUUAAAUGUCUGCUUUUCUUAGUUUCUGUUUAUCCUUUUAAUAUUUCAUUUUUAGAAUUUGCAUUUUGUUUAAAAAUAAUGUAUUUUCAGAAGUCUCUUGAAAAGUUUUAACAGGAGGAAUUUGUUUUAGGAAUGUCUUAACACAUAUUCGGCAUACAUAUUAUGUAGAAUGCGUAUAGUAUUUGGAUUUUUUUUUUUCUGUUCAAGCUUUGCACAUCUCAUAACAUUCACAGUUAAUGUAUGAUUGCCUGAUUGUUAUAAAUUUUUUUUGCCACUGUAAACUUCUAAGAAGUCUAAGCUCUUUUAUGCAUUUCAUGUAAUUAUAUGUAAAGUAUUUUAAAAUGAGAUUUUUGUGAUUGUCAGAACUCUAAAGUGGCGAUGUGAGGAAAGAAGUAAAGCUAUCCAAGGUAACUUACAUAACAAAAUCUAGAUGUAGGUCUCACAUGUAUGUAUAAGUGCUUAUGCAGUGUUUAAUAUGAAAGGACUUUCUAUGUAGGUUUAUUCUUUAGAUAGAUUUCUUUAGAAAUUGAUAUACUUAAAAGUAUGUGACUUGAUUUGAUAACAGUCUUAAGUUACACAUGGUGCUGAACAAUUCUACUUCUCAAAGGCUGAUACUGCUCGUGAGUUUUUAAUUAUUCUGUUAAGAUAAAAUUUUAUGUAGUAUUGUCAAGAAGCAUUGUCUUUGAAUAGAAGUAAUUGCUUAAGUUUGGAGGUACUAAAAACUAUUUAAACAAAUCCCUUGUUUUGUUUUAAAUAGUUGUAAUAACCAAUAUAAUCCUUUGAAUUCUGUUGAUAAUCCAGACAAAGAAGGGAAACCAAAGACUGAAUGAUGCCUAUGUAUAGCAGGCAUUUGGCUGCUGAUUGCCAAGUGCACAGUUCACCGUUCGGUCACCUCUGUCUGUCAGUUUAGUCCCUUUAAUGCAGUUCUCUGCAAUCUCCCUGUUCUCUAAAGCUUAUCUGGGGGCUUCAGACAUUGCCUAGCUCAUUAUUCCCCAAGGAAGGUUAAGGCCUUUAUUGUCUGACCAGAACUGCUCGCUAAUUAGAGCCCUUGUUUUGGCACUGAAUGUGUCAGGCCUGCAAGACUUCCUACUGGAAUCAGUGGCAUUCAUGUUUGCUUUCAUAAAUGCACAAUAGACAGGAAUCUUGGCAAAGACCUGCAUACUUAGCUUGUGCAAAGAAACAGGUUUGAGUCUUUUUUUGAAAUAAUGAUAAGUAGAAAGAGAGCUAUUGGAAUAUGUGCUGACUAUUCCACUGAAAAAAAGAGUGCUCUGCCUAAGGAGAGCCCAGUGUGCAGUUCAAACCCAUCAUGUAUUUGUACCCAUGUAGAAAUUUGGAGUCAGUAGUCUUUGUCAGUAGUCUUUUGUGAUGGUAAUUAUUCUCAGAAUUUAGGAAUUUUUGCAGUAAAUGCAAGGUCUGUAAGCAAUAUGAUUAAUUCAGGAUAUGUAUGUCAUGUUGCAAUUAAUAAAUAAUGAUUAUUGGCAAAUAUUUCAAUUAUUUCUUUUGUCCUCCUUCCCUUAAAAGAUAGAUAUGUUUCCACGUAUGAGGUAAGAUUUUUCAAAUGAGCUUCUUUUGGCACAUGGUUUUCAUGGAAAUACAGACUUGGGUCUAUAUUCUGGUGCGGCU